GUUCGGACGGUCACGUGUCCCAGCUUGCCGGCCUGGGGCUUGCAGUGCGCCUGCGCCGCAGCGGGGCGGGGCGGGGUGUGUUUCCGCAGAGGUUCCUGCGGCGGGAGCGUGCGCGUGGGCGUCGCGGUCGUCCUCUCCGCGCACAGGUCAGUGCUUCGCGCUUCCCCAGCCGGAGAAGCUGGUGAGGAGGUGUGGGCUUCGGCCAGGGCCUGGGAAUUUAGCCGGGAAUCCGAAGCACCUCAAGCCAAACACUCCCGACCCCGCCGAGUUGGAAGCAGGGCAUAGUAGUAGCUGCCAAGGUGCAUGAAAUCACCUUGAACUUAGGAACUGGAAGAAGUGCUCCCAAAGCAUUAGCAGAGACACGUUUCUGAGACACCCGACUAUGUGACACUCUGAUUUCACAGCCCUGACUUCCCCACCUGUGGAACAUGUAGGAUCGUUUGCCUAAGAUGCGACCAUGCCAUCCAGGCUUCUCCACACCCUGGCAAGUUUACACAGCAUAUCAGCAAAGGCUCAUCAGUGCCAGAGACUUACUUGGCUUACAUUAAGACCACUUAGGAAAUCUGAAAGUACAACAUGCCACAAUGGCCUGACAAUACAGCAACAUUUACACUCAUUCUUUCCAAGUAUAACAGCUGACAGUUUGAAUAAGCCAGAGAUCCUGGAAAUGAGCCGGAUAACAUCAGACACAAGCAGACUCUUUCCGUUAAAUGCUGUCCAUUGGUUGGACGGCAAAGAACACUGGCCAAGCAUGCACCCCUUUGGGACUCACAGGAGCAUGACCCACAAACCAAAUCUCUUGUGUUCUAAGUGGUUUAUAAAAGCAGUAAAGAGGCAUCACUCAUCUGUAUCAAAUGAAGCACUUGUUCCCAAACAAGACCUUCCGCAGAUCAAGAGGCCGCUGAAAGCAUCCCGGACCCGGCAGCCAUCCAGGACCAACCUUCCAGAUCUGUCUGUGAAUGAGGACCUGAUGCAGUGCACAGCAUUUGCAACCGCAGAUGAGUAUCACCUGGGAAGUCUGUCUCAAGAGCUGGUCUCCUGUGGCUAUGUGGAAGUGACAAGCCUGCCUAGAGAUGCAGCAAAUAUUUUGGUGAUGGGUGUGGAAAGUUCUGCAAAAGAAGGUGAUCCCGGAACAAUAUUCUUGUUCAGGGAAGGAGCUGCUGUGUUCUGGAAUGUAAAAGAAAAAACUAUGAAGCACGUGAUGCAAGUUCUAGAGAGACACGAAACCCAGCCCUAUGAAGUGGCUCUCGUUCACUGGGAGAACGAAGAACUCAACUACAUAAAGACAGAGGGACAAUCAAAACUGCACAGAGGGGAAAUCAAGCUAAACUCUGAGCUGGACUUGGAUGACGCCAUUCUAGAGAAAUUUGCGUUCUCCAACGCUCUCUGCCUGUCAGUGAAGCUGGCUAUUUGGGAAGCAACCCUGGACAAAUUUAUUGAGUCUAUUCAGUCCAUUCCAGAGGCAUUAAAAGCUGGGAAGAAAGUCAAACUGUCUCAUAAAGAAGUUAUGCAGAAAAUGGGUGAGCUCUUUGCCCUCAGGCACCGAAUAAACCUGAGCUCAGAUUUCUUGAUCACCCCUGACUUCUACUGGGACAGAGCAAACCUGGAAGAGCUUUAUGACAAGACCUGCCAGUUCCUUAGCAUCACGCGAAGAGUUAAGGAGACAGACAGGACAGUUGCUCUCAAGACCAAGCUGGACUAGAGAUAAGAACCUGACAGCCUUGACCACCUGAAGGAAGGUCAUGAAUGAAAAACUGCAGCACUGCAUGGAACUAACAGACCUAAUGCGGAAUCACCUCAAUGAGAAGCGAGCACUCCGCUUGGAGUGGAUGAUCGUCAUCCUCAUCACCAUUGAGGUAAUGUUUGAGCUGGGGAGAGUCUUCUUCUGACCUUGUGAUCAUGAAAGCACCACACUGGCAAGAGAGAAGUCAAGUUCUGAACCAGCAAAGCCAGCGUUCACUACUGGUGACUCUUACUCUACCCUCUAAGUCAAGGGGCUGUCAGUGCGCAGGGGACACACCUAGAACCUCAGGAAGCUGAAGCAGGCAGAUCCUGAUGUCCAGAGCAGCCCUGGCUACACAGGGAAACGCACUCAUCUCUGCACUGGAAAAGCAGAGGCAGACUGCCCAGUUUGAGGCCAACAAUAACACAGCAGAACUGUCUCAAAAUAAAACACAAAUGACAUAAUGA
RNA transcript from Mus musculus (house mouse), 2190 nucleotides. It is a transcript of the gene named required for meiotic nuclear division 1 homolog, with no coding region annotated. NCBI's taxonomy places the organism in Eukaryota, Metazoa, Chordata, Mammalia, Rodentia, Muridae. The record is from RefSeq and is marked validated. The transcript has 14 exons.